GGACGCGCUGGUGCGGGCCGACGGCGCCUGGCGGAGGUGCAGGUUUCGUGCUGAUAACCUGAACAAGCUGAAGAACCUCUGCAGCAAAACCAUUGGAGACAAGAUGAAGAAGAAAGAGCCUGUGGGGACGGAUGAGUCUGUACCAGAGAGCGCACAGAACCUCG
Molecule: long non-coding RNA, 164 nt
Organism: Indicator indicator
Lineage: Eukaryota; Metazoa; Chordata; Aves; Piciformes; Indicatoridae
Exons: 3
Source: RefSeq, a predicted model, not a curated record